AAAUCAUAGGAUUAUUUGACCUAGAGCCUUUUUGUACCAUACACAAGUCAUAAUAUACAUGUUUAAUUGAUUUGAAUCACAAAUAAUGCAAAAAUAUUAACUUGGAGUCAAGUCUUAACUGCAUGCAUGUUGUAUGACCAUAAAAGGCUAAACUACCUUAGUAUGCCAAUUUAAGAGCUGGAAUUUCCCUUAAACAAAAUUG
RNAcentral lists this long non-coding RNA (202 nucleotides) under Mytilus galloprovincialis (Mediterranean mussel). Lineage: Eukaryota; Metazoa; Mollusca; Bivalvia; Mytilida; Mytilidae. The record is from RNAcentral.